GAUGAACGCUGGCGGCGUGCCUAAUACAUGCAAGUCGAGCGAACAGACGAGGAGCUUGCUCCUCUGACGUUAGCGGCGGACGGGUGAGUAACACGUGGAUAACCUACCUAUAAGACUGGGAUAACUUCGGGAAACCGGAGCUAAUACCGGAUAAUAUAUUGAACCGCAUGGUUCAAUAGUGAAAGACGGUUUUGCUUUCACUUAUAGAUGGAUCCGCGCCGCAUUAGCUAGUUGGUAAGGUAACGGCUUACCAAGGCAACGAUGCGUAGCCGACCUGAGAGGGUGAUCGGCCACACUGGAACUGAGACACGGUCCAGACUCCUACGGGAGGCAGCAGUAGGGAAUCUUCCGCAAUGGGCGAAAGCCUGACGGAGCAACGCCGCGUGAGUGAUGAAGGUCUUCGGAUCGUAAAACUCUGUUAUUAGGGAAGAACAAAUGUGUAAGUAACUAUGCACGUCUUGACGGUACCUAAUCAGAAAGCCACGGCUAACUACGUG
This 497-nucleotide ribosomal RNA is filed under the name uncultured bacterium. RNAcentral describes it as "partial 16S ribosomal RNA". It matches the Rfam family "Bacterial small subunit ribosomal RNA", at positions 28 to 507 of the family's 1533-position model. The record is from RNAcentral.